Molecule: ribosomal RNA, 253 nt
Filed under: uncultured bacterium
Lineage: Bacteria
Description: partial 16S ribosomal RNA
Rfam family: Bacterial small subunit ribosomal RNA
Source: RNAcentral
UACAGGGGGUGCAAGCGUUAUUCGGAGUUACUGGGCGUAAAGCGCUCGUAGGCGGUUUACCAAGUCUGGUGUGAAAUCCCCGGACUCAAUUCGGGAAGUGCAUUGGAUACUGGUAGACUAGAGUAUAGGAGAGGAGAACGGAAUUCCUGGUGUAGAGGUGAAAUUCGUAGAUAUCAGGAGGAACAACGGAGGCGAAGGCGGUUCUCUAGACUAUUACUGACGCUCAGGAGCGAAAGCGUGGGGAGCAAACAGG